AUUGAACGCUGGCGGAAUGCUUUACACAUGCAAGUCGAACGGCAGCACGGACUUCGGUCUGGUGGCGAGUGGCGAACGGGUGAGUAAUGUAUCGGAACGUGCCCAGUCGUGGGGGAUAACGUAGUGAAAAUUACGCUAAUACCGCAUACGAUCUAUGGAUGAAAGCGGGGGAUCGCAAGACCUCGCGCGAUUGGAGCGGCCGAUAUCAGAUUAGGUAGUUGGUGGGGUAUAGGCCCACCAAGCCAACGAUCUGUAGCUGGUCUGAGAGGACGACCGGCCACACUGGAACUGGGACACGGUCCAGACUCCUACGGGAGGCAGCAGUGGGGAAUUUUGGACAAUGGGCGAAAGCCUGAUCCAGCCAUUCCGCGUGCAGGAUGAAGGCCCUCGGGUUGUAAACUGCUUUUGUACAGAACGAAAAGGUUUCUACUAAUACUAGGAGCUCAUGACGGUACUGUAAGAAUAAGCACCGGCUAACUACGUGCCAGCCGCCGCCGUAA
RNAcentral lists this ribosomal RNA (500 nucleotides) under uncultured bacterium. RNAcentral's name for it is "partial 16S ribosomal RNA". It matches the Rfam family "Bacterial small subunit ribosomal RNA", at positions 30 to 523 of the family's 1533-position model. The record is from RNAcentral.